Molecule: long non-coding RNA, 3476 nt
Filed under: Vitis vinifera (wine grape)
Lineage: Eukaryota; Viridiplantae; Streptophyta; Magnoliopsida; Vitales; Vitaceae
Description: long non-coding RNA (VVIN_LNC001224)
Source: RNAcentral
ACAAAAUGCACUUAGUCAAGUGGUCUUCCAUUUGUAAAGCAAAAUCAAAAGGAGGACUAGGCGUUCGCUCUCUUUCUUUGCCGAAUAAGGCCCUUUUUUGCAAAUGGUCUUGGGGCUUCUCUAGUGAAAGUGAUUCGUUGUGGAAGAAAAUCAUAAAGGGAAAGUUUGGGGAGGAAGAAGGGGGUUGGAGGUUGGGAGUGGUGAUAGAGCUCUAUGGGGUUGGGGUUUGGAAAGAGAUUGGGAAGUAGUGGGAUUUUUUUAAUACAAAGAUUUCCUUUGCAGUGGGUAAUGGGAGUAGAGUGAAGUUUUGGAAAGACAAGUGGUGUGGUGAGAAACCCUUAUGUGAGACUUUUUUGUCCUUGUUUGCCCUUUUUGAUUUGAAGGAGGCAUGGGUAGUUGAUUCUUAGGGGCCAAGUGAGGAAAGAGGAAAUUGAAACUUUCAUUUUGUUAGGAGUCUGAAUGAUUGGGAGUUGGGUGUCAUGGAGUGGUUCCUUUCUAAGCCCCAAGGACAGACAGUGAAGAGGGAGGAGGAUAGAGUAGUGUGGAAGGAAGAUAACAAAGGGGUCUUCUCUGUAAGAGGGCUUUACUUUUUGUUGGAAACAAAUUAUACCAUCCCUUUCCUUUUAAAAAUAAUUUGGAACUCGUAGAUUCCUUUGAAGGAGAGUUUCUUUACGUGGGAGGCUUGUUGGGGAAAGCUUUUGACGUUGGGUCAACUUCAAAGAGGAGGGUGGACAUUGGCUAAUAGGUGUGCAUUGUGUAAAGAGGAGUUAGAGUCCAUUGAUCAUAUCCUUCUUCAUUGUGAUAAGACGAGAAUUUUAUGAGAGCUAGUGUUCUCCGUUUUUGGUAUUCGAUGGGUUUUAUCUGAGUUGAUAAGGGAGACUCUCCUAGAGUGACAUGACUCUUUAGUAGAUAGAAGACGUAUUAUGCCUUGGAGAGCCGCUCCUUGUAUUUUCUAGAUGAUUUGGAAGGAAAGAAAUGAGUGAUUUUUUUGAAUGUGAGGAAUUGUCUUAUCAAAAGCUAAAAAUUCUUUAUGUAGGUAGGGUGUAUAUAGGCGGUGGGUAGACGCAUAUCGUUGAUUUCAUAGAUUGGUUGGAGCUUGGAUGAGGUAGGGGGUAUUUUUUUGUAUGUUCCCUCUCUCCUGUUUUUUUUGUCAAGUGCACUUUGUAUAUGUCCUAUAUACUCUUGUGCGCUUUAAGCGCUUUUUAAUACAUUCUCUUACUUAUGAAAAGAAAAAAGGAAAAAAAAAAAAAAAACAAAAAACCAUACAUUUUUCAUCUAAGUUAUGAUACUGUUAAAUGAUAUCUUAGAAAAUGCUAGUGAUGAAAUAGAUAAUCUGUAGUUUGUAUUCACAUGAUUUUUUUUUUUUGGUGGUAAAGAUGUUUCAAUAGUUUGAUACUAUUGUGUAGUUCAAAAGGAGUCUAAUGAUAUCCUCUUAUGCCUUUUGGGAGAGGUAAUCUGUUAAUAAUAAUUGAAAUGUUUUUCAUAUGGGGAGUAGUAACUGUCAGUAUUGAUAGCUAUGAAACAGGUCAAGCUUAAGUGACUACAUCCAUUCAACUGUGUGUAUUAAAUUCUCAACUAUAAAGCAGAUGCUAUAGCUUAAACAAGUUUAUAUAGAGAAUAUUACCUUGGUUUAACCUGUUUUCAUAAACUACUUUCUAGGUAAACGGUCAACACUUGUUUACAUAGAUUGGAGAAAAACCUGUUUUGGAAAAGCCAGUGGUAAUUGGUUGUGAUAGCAUCCAUUUGCACCAUGCCCUACAUAUUAAGGAGGUCACUGGGAACCAUGCUGAGUGGAAUAUCUAUGAAGUUACCAUUUAGAUAAAAUGAGGAAGUAUGAAUUAUUUUCUUCUGGGCAAUGAGGUCAGAAGAAAAGCAAGAGAAGAAUAAAUUACAGUAAUCAAAAGAUAUAGGAAUAGAGAGAAAUGAUUGGAAGCAAUGCUCUAAUUCAACUUUCAUUGGUCAAAGUUAUGAUAAUCUAAAGGCAUCCUUCUAUGCCUAUGCUUUGGCUCUUUGGUAGCCUCUAAAUGAAUUUCAUUAACCAUAAUAGUUAGUGAGGGAAAAAAAUUAAGGAAUAGCAUUCAUGAAUUUUUCAAAUCACUAUUAAAAGAAAAUUACAAUCUACUAAGUGCUAGUAUUUAUGCACAGAUAAAGCUCUUAUUUCUUAAUCAGAUAAUGGGUGAGAUUUUGGUUGAUUAUUUAUUGAGCUCUUUGAAAGAUGUCAUUUAUGUUGACUAAUUGCUUGUUGAAAUCCUGUUACUCUCACACGUACUAACAUGACACCUGGUAGGUUGCCACACUUCCAUGGUAACUUAUUCUGCUUUGCUGCAUUUAUUUCUAGAAGAGCACCAAAAAAAUCACCAAAUUAAUAAUAUGGAAACAUCACAGAUUCCUAUAAAAAUUGCUUCAUUUAAACUCAACAUGAUUUUUUCCCAGAUUUUUUUUACCAGAUACUUCUAAGUGGGGUGAUGAAUGAAUAAAUGGUCCACCUAUUUUCAGUCAACCAUGCAUAGUCUGGCAAAGGUAAAUAUUUGUAGGGGUAUGACUUGCUGGGAUUUAACAGUAGUCUUUUAUAAGUACACACAUUCCAUACAAAGAAGGAAAAUUUGGAUAAGACUGCAGCUUUCCAGGUGACCUUUUUCAGGAAAGUGGCUCCUCCAACAUUCACCCUGUGUAAGAAGGAUUUAAUUGAAAUCCACACUUGCAGAAUCUCCACCAUUGCCUAUCUUUCUUCAAAAGACUUGGACUAAGACUUAUGGUUGUACCACCAUCUUACUCUCCAAAGAAUAAAUAAUCUAUAGUUCCAUAUUUUCUUGCUAGAUAUUUGGUGUUUUGGCUUGGGGUUGGGAUCACAGUAAAGCACUAAGAAACUUUUGUCAUUAACCAGAAAAUUCUGUUAGUGCCUUAAGAAGUCAACUGAAGAGGAAUGCCUUCAUAUGUCAGAUGUCUCAAAACUUGACUUGCUGCCACUCCUGACAGUGAAUCCCCAUGUAAAUGCAACUUUAACUUUGCAAUACAGGUUUAGAAAGCAGCAAAUGGGCUAUUAGUUUCUAGAGUAUCCAAAUUGUUAUGGUUCAAUCUCACUUUUGCCAUACUCUUAUCUUGUCCACCCAACCCCACUGAAUCCAGAUAUCAAUUUUACAACAUGUGUUAUCUUCUUUUUUAUUUUUUAUUGUUCAAACAUGUUUACCUUUUGUACUGUAUGGACUGAUUAGAAUAUCACUGGAGAUGGUCUUAGUGAGGUUGUGUGGCUUGUGAUCUAUUCUUAUCAUUAUGCGUUAGAUCAGUCAUUUAUAUUUAAUCUGGUAUCUUGUUAUUAUGGAAUAAGGAUAUUUUUCAUCUGAACAAUGUGGAGUGAUUAGUUUUGCUAGCAACUCUGAUUUAGUUAAUGGAUGAUUCAACUUUCCUUUUUUUUUUUUUUGAUAGGUUAGAUGAUACAACUUCUCUUUGCUUCUAAUUUGUAUUAUUUAUAUACUUAC